CGGCUCUUCACAUGGCCAGGACGAGCCCUGUGAGGAACAAGCACCUCAAUUUCUGUUUGCACAACUAAUACCUAUCACUCCCUAAGAAGAGGUGGAAUGCCAGUAACCAUAUCAGCUUUCAGAGAAGAGAUGCAGCUGUCAGCAAAAGGAAGAUUUGGGCAAGGAGGAGGAAAUGGAGCUCUUCAUUCCCACCCCAUCACCUGAUACUUCAGGAGCAAAGCUGGAUUCAUCUGCUUUUUCUCUCUGAUGUCCAAGAUUUUUCUUGGAUUUUAGGCUAUCCUUGUAAAUUAGUCCAUAAAACAACCCUUCAGCAUACCUGCUUGUGGUGAAUUAAUACUAAAAACCCAAACCAA
This is a long non-coding RNA of Pyrgilauda ruficollis (rufous-necked snowfinch), 353 nucleotides long. RefSeq lists it as uncharacterized. The record is from RefSeq and is a predicted model, not a curated record. The transcript is spliced from 3 exons. Lineage: Eukaryota; Metazoa; Chordata; Aves; Passeriformes; Passeridae.